AACUUCUAACGGUGGAUCUCUUGGCUCGUGCAUCGAUGAAGAACGCAGCCGGCUGCGAUAAGUAGUGUGAAUUGCAGAACUCAGCGAAUCAUCGAAUCUUUGAACGCAA
RNAcentral lists this ribosomal RNA (109 nucleotides) under Aurelia cf. 2 KMB-2016. RNAcentral's name for it is "partial 5.8S ribosomal RNA". It matches the Rfam family "5.8S ribosomal RNA", at positions 1 to 109 of the family's 154-position model. From Rfam's summary of the family: 5.8S ribosomal RNA (5.8S rRNA) is a component of the large subunit of the eukaryotic ribosome. The record is from RNAcentral. Lineage: Eukaryota; Metazoa; Cnidaria; Scyphozoa; Semaeostomeae; Ulmaridae.